GAUUGAACGCUGGCGGCAUGCCUAACACAUGCAAGUCGAACGGCAGCACGGGGGCAACCCUGGUGGCGAGUGGCGGACGGGUGAGGAAUGCAUCGGAAUCUGCCUGGUUGUGGGGGAUAACGUAGGGAAACUUACGCUAAUACCGCAUACGACCUACGGGUGAAAGUGGGGGACCGCAAGGCCUCACGCGAUCAGAGGAGCCGAUGUCGGAUUAGCUAGUUGGCGGGGUAAAGGCCCACCAAGGCGACGAUCCGUAGCUGGUCUGAGAGGAUGAUCAGCCACACUGGAACUGAGGCACGGUCCAGACUCCUACGGGAGGCAGCAGUGGGGGAAUA
Molecule: ribosomal RNA, 335 nt
Filed under: uncultured soil bacterium
Lineage: Bacteria
Description: bacterial SSU rRNA
Rfam family: Bacterial small subunit ribosomal RNA
Source: RNAcentral